AUUAUUAUUUAUUUUCUUUAGGCUCCACAUUUAACAUGGGUUACAUAUGUCACUUCAGAUAAUAAGCAAAUAGUUAUCAAACAUCAAAACUUGAGUCUUUGGACUUUCAAAUAAUGCAUGAUUUGUCAAGAGUAAUGUUGGAUUUAAUUAUAAAAUGUCAUUCUAAACAACAAACUGUGAUACAGUAUACUGUAUCAAUACAAUACAAUACACACUGUCCAGCUAGAAAAGUUUCCAUUUAAUACAAAAUUGAUUGAGUUUAAGAUUUAUCACAUGAUUAAUUUCUGACUAUUUAACAUAACAUAAACCAUAAUUCAUUUCUCUUUACUGCAGGAUCUUUGUCCUGCCCCUCUGAUCCUCUCAAGAUAUGUUGACAGUGAUGAAGCUCCAGUCGACUUCAUGGAGGAUGAACUACUUCUUCAGCAAGGGAUAAUGGAUGAACGCAUAAAAGGAGUAAAAGCUGUAGAGUGUUUGGAGACCGUGCUGCCUGCUGUUGUCGAGCGAUGAUGCUCACGUGAUCCUGUCACUGAUAGUGGAGCCUUAACUAGCAGAAGCAGAGACGGUUUGUGCAACAGCAACAAGGUGCGGGUCCAAACCCAUCUGUCAAGACACUUGUCCACUUGCUGUCCGCCCCACCAGCCCAACGAUUGUGCUGGAGAACCACAAGUCACAGAAAAAGAGAAUGUCAUAAUCAACUGGAACAGCAUGAGGUGGUAGAGACAGAGAAGAAGUGCCCUUGACGAGGAAACCAUGGCAGCCAUAUAUACGUCAAGAAGAGAUUUCCAAAUGUGUCCAAAGAGGCUUUGAGGAUUUGACGUGGGGAAAAUGUGAAUGUAUUUUCUUGGGUUGAAAUAUAUGUAAGGCAAAAUAUAUUUUUAAAUGCUUUUGUAAAAUAUAUUUUGAAAAUAUAUUUUUUUUUAAA
Megalobrama amblycephala (Wuchang bream) is the source of this 922-nucleotide long non-coding RNA. RefSeq lists it as uncharacterized. The record is from RefSeq and is a predicted model, not a curated record. NCBI's taxonomy places the organism in Eukaryota, Metazoa, Chordata, Actinopteri, Cypriniformes, Xenocyprididae. The transcript is spliced from 7 exons.